Molecule: unclassified non-coding RNA, 200 nt
Filed under: soil metagenome
Description: partial contains internal transcribed spacer 2 and large subunit ribosomal RNA
Source: RNAcentral
CUGUUCGAGCGUCAUUUUGACCACUCCCGCUUGCGGGGUCUUGGGCUUCGCCUCUGGGCGGGCCUUAAAAUCAGUGGCGGUGCGUCCGGCUCUAAGCGUAGUAAAUCUCCUCGCUAUAGGGUCCCGGAGGGAUGCUGGCCAACAACCCCCAACUUCUUAAGGUUGACCUCGGAUCAGGUAGGGAUACCCGCUGAACUUAA